CUAUAAGUCUGAUGUGAAAAACCUAAGGCUUAAACCAUAGGAUUUGCAUGGGAAACUGUAGAGCUGGAGUAUCGGAGAGGCAAGCGGAAUUCCUGGUGUAGUGGUGAAAUGCGUAGAUAUAUGGAAGAACACCGGUGGCGAAGGCGGCUCUCUGGUCUGUUACUGACGCUGAGGCUCGAAAGCAUGGGUAGCGAACAGGAUUAGAUACCCUGGUAGUCCAUGCCGUAAACGAUGAGUGCUAAGUGUUGGGAGGUUUCCGCCUCUCAGUGCUGCAGCUAACGCAUUAAGCACUCCGCCUGGGGAGUACGACCGCAAGGUUGAAACUCAAAGGAAUUGACGGGGGCCCGCACAAGCGGUGGAGCAUGUGGUUUAAUUCGAAGCAACGCGAAGAACCUUACCAGGUCUUGACAUCCAUAGCCAGUCUAAGAGAUUAGAUGUUCCCUUCGGGGACUAUGAGACAGGUGGUGCAUGGCUGUCGUCAGCUCGUGUCGUGAGAUGUUGGGUUAAGUCCCGCAACGAGCGCAACCCUUGUCAUUAGUUGCCAGCAUUAAGUUGGGCACUCUAAUGAGACUGCCGGUGACAAACCGGAGGAAGGUGGGGAUGACGUCAAGUCAUCAUGCCCCUUAUGACCUGGGCUACACACGUGCUACAAUGGACGGUACAACGAGAAGCUACCCUGUGAAGGCAAGCGGAUCUCUGAAAGCCGUUCUCAGUUCGGAUUGCAGGCUGCAACUCGCCUGCAUGAAGCUGGAAUCGCUAGUAAUCGCAAAUCAGCACGUUGCGGUGAAUACGUUCCCGGGCCUUGUACACACCGCCCGUCACACCAUGAGAGUCUGUAACGCCCGAAGCCGGCGGGAUAACCGAAAGGAGUCAGCCGUCUAAGGCGGGACAGAUGAUUAGGGUG
Molecule: ribosomal RNA, 904 nt
Filed under: uncultured bacterium
Lineage: Bacteria
Description: bacterial SSU rRNA
Rfam family: Bacterial small subunit ribosomal RNA
Source: RNAcentral